This 253-nucleotide ribosomal RNA is filed under the name uncultured bacterium. RNAcentral describes it as "partial 16S ribosomal RNA". It matches the Rfam family "Bacterial small subunit ribosomal RNA", at positions 524 to 776 of the family's 1533-position model. The record is from RNAcentral.
UACGGAGGAUGCAAGCGUUAUCCGGAAUGAUUGGGCGUAAAGCGUCCGCAGGUGGCUGUGUAAGUCUGCUGUUAAAGAGUGAGGCUCAACCUCAUAAAGGCAGUGGAAACUACAUGGCUAGAGUGCGUUCGGGGCAGAGGGAAUUCCUGGUGUAGCGGUGAAAUGCGUAGAGAUCAGGAAGAACACCGGAGGCGAAGGCGGCUUGCUGGGCGUGAUCUGACGCUGAGGCGCGAAAGCGUGGGGAGCGAACAGG